Molecule: long non-coding RNA, 1087 nt
Filed under: Sorghum bicolor (sorghum)
Lineage: Eukaryota; Viridiplantae; Streptophyta; Magnoliopsida; Poales; Poaceae
Description: long non-coding RNA (SBIC_LNC003245)
Source: RNAcentral
CCACAGCCAUAUAUACAUGCUUAUUAGACUAUGAACCAUACAUUUACUUUUUACUGCUUUUGAGCAUUGAGUGUGGUCAAGCUGCGUAGACCCUUAGGAGCUUGUCAUACGGUUAAAAUCAAGAUUCACUUGCACGUUCACUCAUACAUGCUGCUUCUGUUCCAGAAGUACGCAUCCACAUACAUCCACUCAUUUUCAUCUCCAGAUUCACCUAAAAUUAUUCUACUCCUAUCCGGGAGAGAAUAGCCAAAAAUAUUAUUCCAUUCUUGUUUUUCCCUGUGAAAUAAAUGCUCGAGAUAUUUUGGUUACUACCACUUGCUACAUUAUUCUAGGAGGGUGAGUGCUCUAAAGAAAAGAGAAGAAAAAGGAAAAAUACGAGGAACUAAAAAUGGGCAAGUGCCCGGAACCUCGAAGAAAAUAAAAAGUGAGACGAGAGGUAAAAAUGGACAAGUGUCCAACAGUAGAAUUAGGGGUACAAGAUACCCACCUGAGAGAAAAGAAAAUAAAAUAUAGAGCAUCUCAUUACCCUCAAAAGCCUCAAGUGCAAGGAAGGUAUGUACCCUCUCAAAAGAGCAAAAGUAGAAUUAGACUUUCACCAUUAUUUUCACCAUUAUCACCAUUCAUUCGCCACACAUGCACAUCUUGAUUUGACUUAUUGACUUAUUCUUCUGGAUCCAUGGUUUGACUAUGCAAUAAAUGUCUUGUAAGUAUGUAUUAGCUGUCUCCCACCUAUGAGCUCCAGAUAUCAAAACCUUAUUAGAGUAGGGUGAGAGAGAAGGCAAUGUCACUAUGCCUCAUACCAAAAAUACCACAUACUUUGAGAGAAGGAAUACACCAUUACUGCCUUGGUAAGGAUCCAGAAAUACCACAAAAGAGAGACUAGAGAGAGUCAUACAAGGAAUCUUUGAGUUUUAUUUGAAAAUCUACAAAAAAAACUCUAGAGCUAUAGUUGAUCAAGAACAAGAGACAUGGCGCUUGACUUGACCGUUCUAUCCUUUAACUACUCAUGACACAAGUGACGGUUACAAGCCCCAUGGUGGAAGGAAAUAUGAGUAAGUUUAAAUCUUAACAGUUUACUCUAACCCAA